UUGUAUAUUUUCCAAAAACCCCCUUAGUUAUUACUUUAUUCUGAUUUUGGACAAAAACUAUUCAAUUAAUCUUUUUUUUGUUUUCUUUUUCUCUCGGCUACCAUCUCUUUUCUUCUGACAAACCAAAAACCUCAGCUCUCCUUCUACCCAUAUGGGAAACACAAAAAAUAAUAGUAGUCAAAACUUUUUAACUAGACCACAGAGCGAGGAGAGAGAGAGA
RNAcentral lists this long non-coding RNA (220 nucleotides) under Capsella rubella. RNAcentral describes it as "long non-coding RNA (CRUB_LNC002390)". Lineage: Eukaryota; Viridiplantae; Streptophyta; Magnoliopsida; Brassicales; Brassicaceae. The record is from RNAcentral.